AAGUCGAGGGGUAACAUGGGAAAGCUUGCUUUUCUGAUGACGACCGCCGUACGGGUGCGGAACGCGUAUGGAACCUGCCCCUGUCAGGGGAAUAGCCCAGGGAAACUUGGAUUAAUGCCCCAUGGUAUCGCGAUAUCGCAUGAUAUUGUGAUUAAAGAUUUAUCGGACAGGGAUGGCCAUGCGUACCAUUAGUUAGUUGGUGGGGUAACGGCCCACCAAGGCAGCGAUGGUUAGGGGCCCUGAGAGGGGGAUCCCCCACACUGGUACUGAGACACGGACCAGACUCCUACGGGAGGCAGCAGUGAGGAAUAUUGGACAAUGGUGGGAACACUGAUCCAGCCAUGCCGCGUGCAGGAUGACUGCCCUAUGGGUUGUAAACUGCUUUUAUACGGGAAGAAACGCACCUACGUGUAGGUGCCUGACGGUACCGUAAGAAUAAGGACCGGCUAACUCCGUGCCAGCAGCCGCGGUAAUACGGAGGGUCCGAGCGUUAUCCGGAAUCAUUGGGUUUAAAGGGUCCGUAGGCGGGCCAAUAAGUCAGAGGUGAAAGGCCACGGCUCAACCGUGGGACUGCCUUUGAUACUGUUGGUCUUGAGUUAUAGUGGGGUUGCCGGAACAUGUGGUGUAGCGGUGAAAUGCAUAGAUAUCACAUAGAACACCGAUCGCGAAGGCAGGUGGCCAACUAUAUACUGACGCUGAUGGACGAAAGCGUGGGGAGCGAACGGGAUUAGAUACCCCGGUAGUCCACGCCGUAAACGAUGGAUACUAGCUGUGGGGCAUUCGUGCUCCGUGGCCAAGCGAAAGUGAUAAG
RNAcentral lists this ribosomal RNA (811 nucleotides) under uncultured bacterium. Its description in RNAcentral is "bacterial SSU rRNA". It matches the Rfam family "Bacterial small subunit ribosomal RNA", at positions 59 to 864 of the family's 1533-position model. The record is from RNAcentral.